UCCACAGACUACAGCUCCCUCUUAGUCACAUUACCUGGCGGUAACUCCAUUGAAAGCUUGAGAGAUGUUUGGCAAUAAUGAAGAAACUGAGGUGGAAGAAAUUAUUUAGCUAGGUAGAACUUUGCCUAGGAAUCAACCAGGUGACCUGUGGAAGUUGUUUGCUGAUCCUUGAAGUCUGCACCAAGCCAACCGGGCUUCAGCCCAACAAGGAACACCAGCAGACUGCUUGAAGUUGGAUUUUUCAUCUAAAGAAUAUAACAAAUGGGGAAGUAUGGGCAAGAAACCAGAGAGAGUUUGAUGCUUCCGGCCCAGGUCAAAAUGCCAGAAAAUGAAAUUCAGUUCCUUGAUAACAAUGAAGUGAACAGGCUUCUAGUGGAGAGAUUCUGUGGCUUCUGUGACACGCCCCUUUCCUUUCUCCUUCUCCAGCCCUCUUUUCCACUUGGCAAUGCAAGUCACCUUCUCAGCCCUCUGGCCUCAUUAGGAUCUGCACUGAAAAUGAAGUGCUAUUUAACCACUGAACACUGUGUGAACCCAGUUCCUGCUUUCCUGCUUUGAUUUUGGAAGCUGACCAUAUCUGAGGCAAUUCUCCUGGUCUACAGCUGUAGCUGAAUUCUCCUCUUCUUUUCAUUGCCUCCAGGGCCAGGAGCCUCAGACUGCAUGAAGGCAGGAGGUGAUUGAUGGAUGCUAUAUGCCACAAGAUAUGAAGAAUCACAAAACCAAACUAAGAUUUCUGAAGCUCUCCACUCGGGACAAUUAUGAAACUCUCUCUCUCGUGCUGCCUGGAGUGCACUUCUGGGCGGCCGUCCCAUCCUGUGCCUGGCAAUCACACUGACUUUCUCUGGGGUUUAUCUAACUUGGAUUGUCUCAGAAAAGUCUUCUUGAGCUGACUCACCUCAACAUGAUGCCCUUUUGGUUUUGCAUUAUCAGCUUUUUUUCAUCUGAGAAGUUGACUGAGAGAGAAGUCUGUCAACAGAUUACAGCUUGAUCCAAUUGAUGGAGCUAUUUAAGCCACAGCACAGGGAAAUCCU
Molossus molossus (Pallas's mastiff bat) is the source of this 1028-nucleotide long non-coding RNA. RefSeq lists it as uncharacterized. The transcript has 8 exons. NCBI's taxonomy places the organism in Eukaryota, Metazoa, Chordata, Mammalia, Chiroptera, Molossidae. The record is from RefSeq and is a predicted model, not a curated record.